UGGGGUGUCGUCUAACGGUAGGACACCUGACUCUGGAUCAGGCAGUUGGGGUUCGAAUCCCUGCACCCCAGCCA
This 74-nucleotide transfer RNA is filed under the name Chloroflexota bacterium. RNAcentral describes it as "tRNA-Gln". It matches the Rfam family "tRNA". From Rfam's summary of the family: Transfer RNA (tRNA) molecules are approximately 80 nucleotides in length. Their secondary structure includes four short double-helical elements and three loops (D, anti-codon, and T loops). The record is from RNAcentral. RNAcentral also lists the same sequence under 2 other names. Lineage: Bacteria; Bacillati; Chloroflexota.